This 4605-nucleotide long non-coding RNA is filed under the name Prunus persica (peach). Its description in RNAcentral is "long non-coding RNA (PPER_LNC003831)". Lineage: Eukaryota; Viridiplantae; Streptophyta; Magnoliopsida; Rosales; Rosaceae. The record is from RNAcentral.
AAGCUAAGGAACUGCUUUGAGUUCUGCCUUUUUGAAUUGCUUCCUUAUUUCAAUGAAUAACUUACAUAUUUAUACAAGGUUCGGUUGCUAAAAUUAACUAAACUAAAAUAGUAAAUUAUUUUAAGCCAUAAAGAAUGAAUGGCCUAAAAUCUUACUUAAUUUGAACCAUUAACUUUUUAUGGUUUAUAACAAUUCGUUAUAAACCAUUAGUUUUUAUGGUUUUAAAUAACUUAAUAAUAUAAUAUAAUAUAAUAAACUAUAAUUAUAUUAUAUUAUGUUUAUUUUUGUUGGUAGAUCCUCCUGGAUCAUGGCUCCCCCAUCUAAGAUGCUUGAGCUCCUGGUCAAGCUACAUUGAGAUGAGGAAACUCUAGUAUUGCCUUGUCUCGAAUAUACCAUUUCGAUUUGCUGGGAAGUUGCCCUUUACUACCAAUACGAAAAUACUCAUACUUUCCAUGUCGAGUCUCACGAACCUUUUGUUCCAAUAUGGAUGAAAUGCAGUACUUCUUUUCAAUCUAGUAUCCAUCAUUUCCCAUAAAGACCUCCAGAAAUGGCCUAAGAAUCGACUGUCUCUAUCAGAAAUAAUCGAUGUAGGUAAGCCAAAAUACUUCCAAACAUGUUGGAAAAAUAACUUAGCAGCUCCUUCUCCAGUAACGGUCUUCUUGCAUGGAAUGAGAAUCACCAUCUUACUGAAACGAUCUACCACCACAAACAAGUAGUCAUUUCCAGACUUGGUUUUAGGCAAUCCACCUAAGAAAUCCAUCGAGAUACUCUCCCAAGGUCGGCUAGGUACUGGCAAUGGAAGAUACAGUCCUAACUUUCUAUUGGAAGGCUUUGAUGUGUUGCAUAGAACACAACCUCGAAUGUAUCGUGAAACAUUGAGAUGCAUCUUUGGCCAAUACACAUAGCGACGAAGAUUCAAUAAAGUCUUCUCAACUCCAAAAUGUCCUGCUACUUUGGAAGUAUGAGCCUCACGAAUCCACUGCAAUCUGUCGCCAUCUUCUGGAAUGCACAAUUGUGUUCCCUUGUACAUUAGUCCAUCCUUCAAUUGGAACUCACUAGUCUUUCCUUGUUGUAGCUUGGCAUAUGCUGAGUUGAAAUCAGUAUCUGUGUCAUACCCUUUGGCAUAUUCAGAAGGAACAAUGGGUUGGAUUUGCAUAGCCACCAGCAAUGUGGAACUAACUGGUGUAGGUGGUCUAGAUAACAUAUCUGCCAACUUAUUAGUUGUUCCUUUCUUGUACUUUAUCACAAUAUUGAAUUGUUGUAGGUAAGACAUCCAUUUCAUAUGGCGAGCAUGCUGCAACUUAGACUGUGUAGUUAAAAAUUGAAGAGGUUUAUGAUCUGAGUGAACUACAACUUUUUUUCCCAACAAGUAAGCUCUCCAAUGCUUCACUGCUUGAUGCAUUGCAUACAGCUCCUUGUCAUAAGUUGGAUAAUUCAAUACCGGUCCACUAAACAUCUCAGAAUGGUAUGCAACUGGUUUCCCAUCCUGAAAUAAUACGGCUCCCAUUGCAUAGUUUGAUGCAUCUGCUUCUACGUCAAAUGGUUUCUGCAGAUUCGGUAAUGCUAGUACUGGGGCCUCUGUAAUCUUUCGUUUCAACAAUUGGAAAGAUUCUUCAUGGUUUCUCGACCAUUCAAACUUUUGAUUGGCUUUUGUAAGUGAAUGUAAGGGUGCUGCAAUUUGUGAAAAGUGCCGAAUAAACUUUCGCAAAUAUUGACAUGCACCUAUAAAGCUCCGAACUUCAAUCACUGAACGGGGUGUAGGCCAUUGAGAAAUCACAUGUACUUUCUCUAGGUCCAUUUUCAGUUCUCCUGCACCAACAAUGAAUCCCAGGUAUACGAGGUGUUGUUUCCCAAAUUCACACUUCUUACCAUUUAAUUAUAAUUGAUUUGUUCGUAGAACCUCCAAAACUUGAGCAAUAUGAUGAAGAUGGUCCUCCCAUGUGACACUAAAAAUGAGAAUGUCAUCUAAGUAUACAAUGACGAAGUCGUCAAUGAAAGGGCGGAGUACCUCAUUCAUCAAUCGCAUGAAGGUAGCUGGAGCAUUACAUAACCCGAAUGGCAUGACUAACCACUCGAAGAGUCCCUGCUUUGUUUUGAAUGCAGUCUUCCAAGUAUCUUCUUCAUGUAUGCGGACUUGGUGAUAGCCAGAUUUGAGAUCAAGCUUAGUGAAGUAGUGUGCACCAUGUAGUUGAUCUAGUAGGUCAUCAAUCCUCGACAAUGGAUACCGAUUCUUAAUGGUUAUUUUGUUGAGUGCCCUAUAAUCAACACACAUACGCCAGCCUCCGUCUUUCUUAGGCACAAGUAACACUGGCGAACCACAUGGGGAGCAGCUAGGUUUGAUGAUUCCUUGUUCAAGAAGUCCCUGAAUUUGCUUUUUGAUCUCGUCAGAUUCCAUCAAAGAAGUACGAUACAGACCUAAGUUUGGUAGAGGUGAAUCUCCUACCAACUGGAUCUCAUGCUCUAUAGCUCUCUGUGGUGGCAAACCUUGCACAUCAUGAAAUAAGUCCUUGAACUUCUCCUGCAAUUUUCCUAUGUCUGAGCAUUGCGUAGGAGAUAAAGACAAUGUAGACAAUGUCACAGCUCCAGAACUUUGAUCUUGUGGUCGAAUCAUCAACAAAACAAAUCGCCCACAUGAAUUGACUAACCUCUUGGCUUGGUUAGCUGUCAGCAAAUUAUCUGUAAGCAAAUUAUUUGUAGCUUGAGGCUUGCAAGCGUUGAUGUGGAACUCCUUCCCAUCCUUCACAAGUCGAUACUUGCGAAGCCUCCGAUAGUGGAUGGCAUCUCGGUCCCAUAAAUAUGGACUGCCUAAUAUGACUUGGCAAACAUCCAAAGGAACCACCUCACAUGUCACCUCAUCGAUAUAUCAAUUGGUGAUAGCAAAUUUGAAGGUACAUUGCUUCGUGAUCUGUAAGUCAACAUCUUUCUGAAUCCAUCCUAGCGGGUACGGCUUAGGAUGUGGUGUGGUUUCUAAACCCACUUUUCUUACUAAAGCCUCUGAAAUCAGGUUUUUCUGACUUCCAGGGUCAAUGAUAGCUUGUACAACACUUUGCUUCACCUGAAUAUUCACAUGAAACAACUCUUCACGGUUGUAUGUGUCUUCAAUAUCUGCUGGUCUUGUCAUAAGGGUAAGUGUAACAUCAGGUUGCUUCAAUUCUGGAAGCUCUUCUGCUUGUUGUAUAGUUAAGGUGGCUUUUCUGUCAUUUCUCCCCUGGUUGUUUUUCUCGCGCUUUGGCCGUAACUCAGGAUGGAGUAUCCAGCACUUGUCUUUGGCAUGUCUACUGGUUUGACAGUGAUCACAGUAUACCUUCUGUGUCUGACCUUCCUUGCUCUGCUUCCCCUUUUUCUGCCAGUCAGUUUUGUUGACAAGUUUUGAUCUGUCAUCCUUCUUGUCAGUUCUUUUAUUUUUCGCCUCAAUGGCGAUGGCCUUCAUAGUAGCUUCUUCAAUGGUGUCUACGGUGAACAAUUUUAGUUCUUUCCGUAUGUAGUCGGCAAGACCUCCGGUAUACUUCAUGAAAACGUCGUAGUCAUCGACGUCAAUGUCUAGAACCAUAGCUUGGUUGUGAAACUCUGUUGUAUACUCUUGUACAUGUUGUCCAAAUCUUUGUCUGAAGUGUUGCCAUUUAUACCAUCUUUCAUCUUCAUAGCCAACUGGAUAAAAUUGUUUUCUCAAAAGCUUCUUGAAGUUCUUCCAAGUCAAUUUUGAGACAUCAUACCGUCUCUGAUAGGACUUCCACCAUGUAAGGGCAUGGCUUGAAAGUUUCAAACUCGCAAAUUUUAUUUUUUGCACAUUAGAAUACUUAUAAACUGUGAAAUAAGUUUCUAAUGUGUCUACCCAGUUAUCUAGCUUUUCAGGAUCAACAUCUCCUUUAUAUAUAGGGAUGUCAACCUUAAAAUCAAUCUUUAAGGUAUCAAUAGAAUUUUUAUUGUCACCUGAUUCAGCUUCCUUUUUCGUUGGAUCAGCUUUUAUGUCGUCUUCAUCUUUGCUAUCCUCAACAACCUUUUUCUUGAGCUUUUGAUCAGGCUCGGAUGAAGUUGAUGGACGUGAAGAUUUUCCAGUUUUCAAACUCUCCACGAGUUUAAGGAUUGAUGCAGACAAGUUUUCAACUUGUUGCUCAAGUUUAGUGAUGCGAUCGCCAUCAUUAGAUGUAUCUUGUUUGUUUUCUCCAGUCAUAUUGCCUCUCUUGGACCUUGGCUUUCGGUGUACGAGCAAAGGACCCAAAAGUUCUUCUCCAGAAGCUUUGCGUUGGUUGCGAGUUGAGACCAUAAACCACCGUCACCCACUCGGAUCUGGUGCUCUGAUACCACUUGAUCCAAAACUUCUAGUCGAUAGAACUAUGAAUUCCUAGUUUAUAGGAAUAAGGGAACGAAAGGAAUUUUAAGACAAUUAGAGAAACAAAAGGAAGAAGCUAAGGAACUGCUUUGAGUUCUGCCUUUUAGAAUUGCUUCCUUAUUUCAAUGAAUAACUUACAUAUUUAUACAAGGUUCGGUUGCUAAAAUUAACUAAACUAAAAUAGUAAAUUAUUUUAAGCCAUAAAGAAUGAAUGGCCUAAAAUCUUACUUAAUUUGAACCAUUAACUUUUUAUGGUUUAUAACAAUUCGUUAUAA